CGGGUGAGUAACACGUGGAUAACCUACCUAUGAGACUGGGAUAACUUCGGGAAACCGGAGCUAAUACCGGAUAAUAUUUUGAACCGCAUGGUUCAAAAGUGAAAGACGGUCUUGCUGUCACUUAUAGAUGGAUCCGCGCUGCAUUAGCUAGUUGGUAAGGUAACGGCUUACCAAGGCAACGAUGCAUAGCCGACCUGAGAGGGUGAUCGGCCACACUGGAACUGAGACACGGUCCAG
RNAcentral lists this ribosomal RNA (237 nucleotides) under uncultured Staphylococcus sp. Its description in RNAcentral is "partial 16S ribosomal RNA". It matches the Rfam family "Bacterial small subunit ribosomal RNA", at positions 103 to 334 of the family's 1533-position model. The record is from RNAcentral. Lineage: Bacteria; Bacillati; Bacillota; Bacilli; Caryophanales; Staphylococcaceae.